Molecule: transfer RNA, 72 nt
Filed under: Calendula officinalis (pot marigold)
Lineage: Eukaryota; Viridiplantae; Streptophyta; Magnoliopsida; Asterales; Asteraceae
Also listed under: 1 other name
Description: tRNA-Thr
Source: RNAcentral
UUCCUUUUAACUCAGUGGUAGAGUAAUCCCAUGGUAAGGCGUAAGCCCUCGGUUCCAAUCCAAUAAGCGGCC